UACGUAGGUGGCAAGCGUUGUCCGGAAUUAUUGGGCGUAAAGCGCGCGCAGGCGGUCCUUUAAGUCUGAUGUGAAAGCCCACGGCUCAACCGUGGAGGGUCAUUGGAAACUGGGGGACUUGAGUACAGAAGAGGAAAGCGGAAUUCCACGUGUAGCGGUGAAAUGCGUAGAGAUGUGGAGGAACACCAGUGGCGAAGGCGGGUCUCUGGGCAAUAACUGACGCUGAGGAGCGAAAGCGUGGGGAGCGAACAGG
Molecule: ribosomal RNA, 253 nt
Filed under: uncultured bacterium
Lineage: Bacteria
Description: partial 16S ribosomal RNA
Rfam family: Bacterial small subunit ribosomal RNA
Source: RNAcentral